GUCAUAGGGAACAUGUGUACUAAGUUUCAAGUUGAUGUAACUUUAACUUCAUCAAAAACUACCUUGACCAAAAACUUUAACCUGAACUUCGCACUAUCAUUUUCUAUGUUCAGUGGACCAUGUAAUUGGGGUCAAAACUAUAAUUUGGCAUUAAAAUUAGAAAGAUCAUAUCAUGGGGAACAUGUGUACUAAGUUUCAAAUUGAUUGGACUUCAACUUCAUCAAAAAAUACCUCGACCAAAAACUUUAACCUGAAGCGGGACGAACGGACGCACAGACGGACGCACAGACGAACGAACGAACGGAGGCACAGACCAGA
RNAcentral lists this long non-coding RNA (318 nucleotides) under Mytilus galloprovincialis (Mediterranean mussel). The record is from RNAcentral. Lineage: Eukaryota; Metazoa; Mollusca; Bivalvia; Mytilida; Mytilidae.